RNAcentral lists this ribosomal RNA (503 nucleotides) under uncultured bacterium. RNAcentral's name for it is "partial 16S ribosomal RNA". It matches the Rfam family "Bacterial small subunit ribosomal RNA", at positions 30 to 523 of the family's 1533-position model. The record is from RNAcentral.
AUUGAACGCUGGCGGCAGGCUUAACACAUGCAAGUCGAGCGGGGUGAUGGUGCUUGCACUAUCACUUAGCGGCGGACGGGUGAGUAAUGCUUAGGAAUCUGCCUAUUAGUGGGGGACAACAUCUCGAAAGGGAUGCUAAUACCGCAUACGUCCUACGGGAGAAAGCAGGGGGUCACUUGUGACCUUGCGCUAAUAGAUGAGCCUAAGUCGGAUUAGCUAGUUGGUGGGGUAAAGGCCUACCAAGGCGACGAUCUGUAGCGGGUCUGAGAGGAUGAUCCGCCACACUGGGACUGAGACACGGCCCAGACUCCUGCGGGAGGCAGCAGUGGGGAAUAUUGGACAAUGGGGGGAACCCUGAUCCAGCCAUGCCGCGUGUGUGAAGGAGGCCUUAUGGUUGUAAAGCACUUUAAGCGAGGAGGAGGCUCUUUUGGUUAAUACCCAAGAUGAGUGGACGUUACUCGCAGAAUAAGCACCGGCUAACUCUGUGCCAGCCGCCGCAGUAA